GUGGCUGUCUUUGCCGUUGCCAAGUAGAGAAUGACGAUUAAUCUAGAAUGUAUCGUAAGUUAUGAAAUAGUACAUGAACAUUUCUUUUUAAAAUUUGGUGAAAAAUCAGAAUUUGUAAAUAAAAAAUGAAAAGAAAUAUUAGAAAAAUAGGGGAGAAAAUUCAUCCAUCCCAGCCCAUCCCCCAUCUCCAUGCUCCUUUCUCCCCUCCCUCCCCCUCGAUUCUAACCACCCUAGCCUGCUAGCCACCCCUCCACCACGACCAUCCCACCCCACACCCACCUGAAACCCAACCUAGAUCAAAUUCAAUUUUGUGUAUGUCAGUCCAGUUAAAAGAAGAAAAAAAAACCCAUAUAUGGAACUUGAGUUUCGUGGAUGUCAAAGAGAGAGAGAAGGGUUGGAUGGUGGGAGAAGAGGUAGAGGGAGGGUGCUGGAUGAUGGAUGUGAGGUUUUUGGUUGUCGCACAGAGAGAUGGGGAGAUAAGAGAUAAAAAGAAGAAGAAGGGAGAAGGUGAAAUUGAAGCCCACAGGUUAUGAUCUUUCUAGUGGGUAAAAGAGACCCGUUUGUAACUUAAGCUGCUUUUCAAUCCAGCCGUCCAAUUUCAUCCAACGGCUGCGAUCUGUCCUCAAUUACAUAAUAUUCCUCAAGAUAGACACACUCAUCAUACGAGACCAAGGCGGCAUUUGUAUAGGCGUACAUCUUUCUUCUUCACAGGAGGCGUCUUUUUUCUUUCACAGUCGAGGGCGUCUUUCUUCUUCGCAGGCGAGGGCGUCUUUCUUCUUUGCUAGUGUCUGGCACGUCUUGCUGAGAAAGUCAGCGUCUUCCUUCUGGAACCCGCGUCCCAGCACAAUCUCUCUCACUGUUUGAUUUUUCCGCUAACCUCUCUCUGCGUGAAAAACCUCUCUCGGCCACCCUCGUUUUGUCAGCCUCCUCUCUCUCUCUCUCAGCUGUCGCGCCGCCGUCACUCUCACUCACGCAGCAGCAGCAGUUCGCACAGACCAGCGUCAGUUUUCACGCAGCUUCCAGCAGCAGUCGCACCUUCCAGCAGCAGUCGCACCUUCCAGCAGCAGCAAUUUCCAGCAUAAAUUCUGUCUCUCUCAGGCUUACCUUACCAUGAAUCAUGCUGGAAGUUUUCCUGACUAUAACAAAUUCGAGACAUUACCAUGUUAUUUCAGCACCAAUGCAUAUGGCACUCCCAGAACGACUGUGGGUGGUGUACAGUGUGACAACUUUUUUCAGGCUAUCGGGGUUGCUGUUGCUGAAAAUGUGUACGCUGACAUUGGCCCUAACCUGCAGGAUGAGAACCUGGACAUUG
Prunus avium (sweet cherry) is the source of this 1312-nucleotide non-coding RNA. NCBI's taxonomy places the organism in Eukaryota, Viridiplantae, Streptophyta, Magnoliopsida, Rosales, Rosaceae. The record is from RefSeq and is a predicted model, not a curated record.